This 784-nucleotide long non-coding RNA is filed under the name Vigna radiata. Its description in RNAcentral is "long non-coding RNA (VRAD_LNC005266)". Lineage: Eukaryota; Viridiplantae; Streptophyta; Magnoliopsida; Fabales; Fabaceae. The record is from RNAcentral.
AUACACAUAUAACAUCACAACAUUAACACCACAACAUUAACAUCACAACUCAACGAUCUAUUUCUUAUACACUACCACACCACCUAAUCAUCAUAACCAAUUCACUGUGAUUCACACAACAUCCUUUUUCCGUAUCCCACAGCCCAAGAGAACCUCUUUUUCGCAUCACACGACCAAAAGAGUCAUCACUACCAACCCAUCCUCUUCCUUCAUCACAUGACCGAAGAGAAACCUUUCCCGCAUCACACUUAACUCCUUCUUUCUAUCUCCCGCUUUCACCUACUUUCACGUCACCCAUCAUCAUCAUCACUCCAAAUUUUCCAUGCACACCAAUAACCAUAUAGAUUGCAACAUAUAAUAAAGAGUAUCAUACAAUGUCAAACCCUACACACAAGGUAAUUCUAGUCACUUCCCUUACCUGGUCUCGUACGAUUUCCAAAAUCACUAAGAAAGCUUCACAAUAUCAUCGAUGGUCCUCCCAUUUUUUAUGCCUCGUUCUCGACUCUAUUUUCUCCUAGAAAACGUCUUUUCUCUCCCUUUUCUUUCUAAUUUUCGUUUUUUCCCCUUUUUAAUCUUCUCCUUUUUAUCCUCUUCUAUUCUAUCUUUAUCUUCUUAGUUUUAACAAAAUCUCUCAGUUUAUCUCUAAAACCACUAAGAUUUCCUCUCUUAUUCUCUCUUAACUACUUUUUAAAAUAUCAUCAACCACCAAAUCUUUUUAAAAUCUAAAAUAUCUGAUAAUGAUUUUCUCUAAUAAUAAUAAUAUUUCUUUUAAUCUUUAAACCCA